AACGAACGCUGGCGGCGUGGAUAAGACAUGCAAGUCGAACGGGACUAAAUCUGUAGCAAUACAGGUUUAGUUUAGUGGCGAACGGGUGCGUAACACGUGGGCAAUCUGCCGAGAAGUGGGGGAUAGCUCGCCGAAAGGCGAAUUAAUACCGCAUAUGAUCAGUGAAGACAUCUUCACGACAUCAAAGCCGGGGCAACCUGGCGCUUCUUGAUGAGCCCGCGGCCUAUCAGCUAGUUGGUGAGGUAACGGCUCACCAAGGCUAUGACGGGUAGCUGGUCUGAGAGGACGACCAGUCACACUGGAACUGAGGCACGGUCCAGACACCUACGGGUGGCAGCAGUCGAGAAUUUUUCUCAAUGGGGCAACCCUGAAGGAGCGACGCCGCGUGGAGGA
Molecule: ribosomal RNA, 393 nt
Filed under: uncultured bacterium
Lineage: Bacteria
Description: bacterial SSU rRNA
Rfam family: Bacterial small subunit ribosomal RNA
Source: RNAcentral